Molecule: small nuclear RNA, 103 nt
Organism: Toxotes jaculatrix (banded archerfish)
Lineage: Eukaryota; Metazoa; Chordata; Actinopteri; Toxotidae
Source: RefSeq, a predicted model, not a curated record
GAGUCAGGCAGGCACAUAUGAUAAAUUGGAAUCGAUACAGGGAAGAUUAGCGUGGCCCCUGCGAAAGGAUGACGUGCAAAAUCAUGAAACUCAGAAGGACAUG